RNAcentral lists this ribosomal RNA (253 nucleotides) under uncultured bacterium. RNAcentral's name for it is "partial 16S ribosomal RNA". It matches the Rfam family "Bacterial small subunit ribosomal RNA", at positions 524 to 776 of the family's 1533-position model. The record is from RNAcentral.
GACGGAGGGUGCUAGCGUUGUUCGGAAUUACUGGGCGUAAAGGGCUCGUAGGCGGCCAACUAAGUCAGACGUGAAAUCCCUCGGCUUAACCGGGGAACUGCGUCUGAUACUGGAUGGCUUGAGUUCGGGAGAGGGAUGCGGAAUUCCAGGUGUAGCGGUGAAAUGCGUAGAUAUCUGGAGGAACACCGGUGGCGAAGGCGGCAUCCUGGACCGACACUGACGCUGAGGAGCGAAAGCCAGGGGAGCAAACGGG